RNAcentral lists this transfer RNA (73 nucleotides) under Ailuropoda melanoleuca (giant panda). It matches the Rfam family "tRNA". Rfam says of the family: Transfer RNA (tRNA) molecules are approximately 80 nucleotides in length. Their secondary structure includes four short double-helical elements and three loops (D, anti-codon, and T loops). Further hydrogen bonds mediate the characteristic L-shaped molecular structure. tRNAs have two regions of fundamental functional importance: the anti-codon, which is responsible for specific mRNA codon recognition, and the 3' end, to which the tRNAs corresponding amino acid is attached (by aminoacyl-tRNA synthetases). tRNAs cope with the degeneracy of the genetic code in two manners: having more than one tRNA (with a specific anti-codon) for a particular amino acid; and 'wobble' base-pairing, i.e. permitting non-standard base-pairing at the 3rd anti-codon position. The record is from Rfam by way of RNAcentral. Lineage: Eukaryota; Metazoa; Chordata; Mammalia; Carnivora; Ursidae.
ACCUGACUGGCUCAGUUGGUAGAGCAUGUGACAUUUGAUCUCAGAAUUGUAAGUUCGAGCCCCAUGUUAGGUG